GGAGUUAGCCGGUGCUUCUUCUGUGAGUGAUGUCCUUCCUGCCGGCUAUUAACCCGCAGGCCUUCUUCCUCAACUGAAAGUGCUUUACAACCCGAAGGCCUUCUUCACACACGCGGCAUGGCUGGAUCAGGGUUGCCCCCAUUGUACCAAUAUUCCCCACUGCUGCCUCCCGUAGGAGUCUGGGCCGUGUCUCAGUCCCAGUGUGGCUGAUCAUCCUCUCAGACCAGCUACGGAUCGUCGCCUUGGUGAGCCGUUACCUCACCAACCAGCUAAUCCGACAUAGGCUCAUCCGAUAGCGCGAGGCCCGAAGGUCCCCCGCUUUCCCCCGUAGGGCGUAUGCGGUAUUAGCCUGGGUUUCCCCAGGUUAUCCCCCACUACCCGGGCAGAUUCCUAUGCAUUACUCACCCGUCCGCCGCUCGCCACCAGGGAGCAAGCUCCCCGUGCUGCCGCUCGACUUGCAUGUGUUAGGCCUGCCGCCAGCGUUCAAUCUGAGCCAGAAUCGAACCCUGA
Molecule: ribosomal RNA, 510 nt
Filed under: uncultured bacterium
Lineage: Bacteria
Description: partial 16S ribosomal RNA
Source: RNAcentral